GAUGAACGCUGGCGGCGUGCUUAACACAUGCAAGUCGAACGAAGAAGCCCAGCUGGUUGGUUGGAUUAGUGGCGGACGGGUGAGUGACACGUAAGUGACCUGCCCUUAACUCUGAGAUGGGCCUGGUAGACGGGGACGAAUACCGAAUAGGAGCGUGCACCAAACGGGGGGUGGUGGAAAGAUUUAUCGGUUUUGGUUGGACUCGCGGCCUAUCAGCGGGUGGGUGAGGGAAUGGCUACCGAAGGGGAGGACGAGGAGCCGGCCUGGGAGGGGGACCGGGCCCAGUGGGCCUGAGACACGGCCCAGACUCCAACGGGCGGCAGCGGUGGAGAACAUUGCGCAAUGGGCGCCAGCCUGAUGCAGCGACGCCGCGUUGGGGAGGACUGCUUUCGGGUUGUAAACCUCUUUCUGUAGAUAAUAAGAGAGAGUGACGGUACCUGAAGAGAAAGCACCGGCUAACUACGUG
RNAcentral lists this ribosomal RNA (466 nucleotides) under uncultured bacterium. Its description in RNAcentral is "partial 16S ribosomal RNA". It matches the Rfam family "Bacterial small subunit ribosomal RNA", at positions 28 to 507 of the family's 1533-position model. The record is from RNAcentral.